CAGCUCCAUGGCCCGCAACCGAGGGCUCAGAUACGUAGGGGCUGGUGCCGGUAGGAGAAGGGAGUGGCUCAUCCAGUGGGUUCACUCCUCUCCCUGAUCUGGUGGUAGUUUAUCUAGAGAGGCCUGGACUCACUUGAAGAAACCCCCAGGCUAGGACAAAGGUGUCUCUGCUCCACUACAUACAUGUAACAGCACAGGAUUGUCCUAGGGCGUUUCUGUGAGCUUGGGGUGCUGGGCUUCUGAGUUUGGGGUAUAUCUGAGAGGGAACGUCCAUGGUGAGCUGGGGUGUUGCUUGAGUUGAGUUGCAUCUGUGUGCCCGGGCGUCGUGAAUCAAGGGUUUGUAUGGCUUGGUGUGUUUGUGCUUUAGGGCUUACGAUUCAGAGUGUGUGUUUGAGUUGGGGUGUAGGCUGGAUGUUUAUGUGUGGUGGGGUUUACAUCUUCGAAUUGGCCGUGUCUGAGGUAUGCCAUAUGCCUCUGAGUAGGGGGUGUAUCUUUGUGAGCUAAAGAUUCUAAGUUUUGAAGUGUCC
Molecule: long non-coding RNA, 527 nt
Filed under: Homo sapiens (human)
Lineage: Eukaryota; Metazoa; Chordata; Mammalia; Primates; Hominidae
Description: HSALNT0167401
Source: RNAcentral